Long non-coding RNA from Antechinus flavipes (yellow-footed antechinus), 1240 nucleotides. RefSeq lists it as uncharacterized. The record is from RefSeq and is a predicted model, not a curated record. NCBI's taxonomy places the organism in Eukaryota, Metazoa, Chordata, Mammalia, Dasyuromorphia, Dasyuridae. The transcript has 4 exons.
UGGGGUGGUGGUGGAGGGGGACUAAACCAGGAUUUCCAGUAUGUGCUUGGUCUGUUUGGCCAAAGGUGACUAACUUAGUGGACUGAGGUCGACCUCCCCCUCCCCCAAAUCAAUAAUUUAAUGUGACUUAUCAGAAAGAGAAAGAAUUGUUUACUUUAAAUCCCUGGAUCCCAUAAAGGGAGAGGGGGAAAGGCACACUGGGAACAGACGCUCCAGAGGGCCUUGUUUCUGCCUCUGGGCUGCUGAAAGGCAAGGCAGGAGAAAGCUGUUUAGAGGGAUGCAGCUUAGCUCUAAGAAAUGUGUGGAGCACCUAGGCCCAGUCACUGUUCAGAUCACUGGGACAGACCCUGCAGAGGAGAAGCUCCCCACCAUGCAGUCACUCUUGGAGGUGAAUUCUUAAGAAGUGAUGAGCCACUCAGCUGGGACAGUAGAGAGAAGUUUAUAUCUCCACUAUGGCCGAGGACUGUGAAAGAAAUAUCAAAUCAAGAAAGAAGGAAAAAGAAAAACUGAGAAAGAAAACACAAUGCAAGAAUGCCAUGUUGUAAUCCACACUCAGUUCCCACAGUCCUCUCUCUGGGAGUAGAUGGCUCUCUUCUUCACUGCACAAGUGGAACUGGUUUGAAUCAUCUCAUUGUUGAAAAUAGUCAUGGCCAUCAGAAUUGAUCAUCAUAUAGUCUUGUUGUUGUCGUAUAUAAUGAUCUCCUGGUUCUGGUCACUUCGCUCAGCAUCAGUUCAUGUAAUGCAUAGAGAUCUGGAGACUUCCUUUUUGGUGGGUCUCUGUAGCAAUGCUGCCAUGUGGAAGUGCAACUAGUCCUUUGGGCUGUGUGUUAUCCCUGCCAGAGCUAUGGAGUGUGACAAUGGUGUUUGUAUCCAGUCUAUCAAACGCCAUUAUCACACUAAAUAGCUACAGUUGGGUACUCCAUCUGUUCAGGGAAAAGAGCAUGUCAGGCAUCGAGUCAUCUGCUGAAGAUGGACAAAACUAUUACUCUUACUUCAGUGUCCUGCUCAUUCAUGGAUACCUAAGAAAUUGCCAAAAUGGUGGCUCAUAAAAGGUAUAUUCUCUCAGAGGCAGAAUUUUCUCAACUUUGCCUUUUACCUUUUGUUAUAAAUGGAUGUUUUCCUGAAGGAUGUAAGCUCCUUGAGGGCAGAGAUUAUUUUGUUUUAAUUUUCAUCUUUGUAUCCAUAGCCUAUCACUGCAUCUUGUACUAAUAAUCUUUAAUAAAUGUUUAUUGAAUUGGAA